CGUUUUUAGAGAAGGUUGAAUAUUCUUCAUGCGUAUGAAAAUGAACAAAUGUUCAUUUGUUUUUAAUGAAUUCCUUGCUAGUGGCGUGGCGUGUAGCAAAGAGUUCGAGGUUGUGAGUCAGUGCUGUUUUCUAUCGUACAUUGGUCACCUGUGAAUCAUUAGCAAUAUUUAUAAAAAAAAUUUUACAGUGGAAAUGCUAAUAUUGCAUGAACAGUUUAAGUACUUUUCCAUGAUCCGAGUGCUCUCUUCAGAGAAGACUCCCAAGGGAUAGGCUAGAGAUGACAUAGGCUAGCUACCUACUUUAGAAAGCAGCUUCCAGAGUACGAGCCGCGGAGAGGUGAAUGGCGCUGUGUGGUAGAGAGAUUGACACGCUGCUGCUGUGUCAAUUGCUACGUCGUCGUAAUAAAGCAGCUGUGGGCCUUUGUUCCACAGAUGCUCACCCUUGAUUAAAGGAGUUCGAUGGUUUCAGAUCACCAGCCCUUUGUAAGUUUGCGAGACUUUUUGAAUGCCCAUCUAUCUGAAGGUGAACGUCACAAGCUUUCCGCCAUUGUUGAUGCAAGUAAUGCUCCAAACACAACGCCGUUGUCUGUUUACAUUAACGGGACGGUACCCGCUACUGCCGAUGGCUCUGAUUGGACGAACAUUUCAAAUUCUGUUGAUGAGGAAGACUCUUUCAAGGAGCUGAAGAAACCAUUUGCU
Molecule: long non-coding RNA, 699 nt
Organism: Macrobrachium nipponense
Lineage: Eukaryota; Metazoa; Arthropoda; Malacostraca; Decapoda; Palaemonidae
Exons: 3
Source: RefSeq, a predicted model, not a curated record